Molecule: ribosomal RNA, 426 nt
Filed under: uncultured bacterium
Lineage: Bacteria
Description: partial 16S ribosomal RNA
Rfam family: Bacterial small subunit ribosomal RNA
Source: RNAcentral
GUGAGGAAUUUUCCGCAAUGGGCGAAAGCCUGACGGAGCAAUGCCGCGUGAAGGAUGAAGGCCUAUGGGUUGUAAACUUCUUUUCUUAGAGAAGAAUAUUGACGGUAUCUGAGGAAUAAGCAUCGGCUAACUCUGUGCCAGCAGCCGCGGUAAGCCAGAGGAUGCAAGCGUUAUCCGGACUGAUUGGGCGUAAAGCGUCUGUAGGUGGCUUCAAAAGUCUCCUGUCAAAGAUCAGGGCUUAACCGUGGGACGGCAGGAGAAACUCUGAGGCUAGAGUUUGGUAGGGGCAGGUGGAAUUCCCGGUGGAGCGGUGAAAUGCGUAGAGAUCGGGAGGAACACCGAAGGCGAAAGCGCUCUGCUGGGCCACAACUGACACUGAGAGACGAAAGCGAGGGGAGCAAAAGGGAUUAGAAACCCCGGUAGUCC